GACGAACGCUGGCGGCGUGCCUAAUACAUGCAAGUUGAGCGCUGAAGGCUGGUACUUGUACCAACUGGAUGAGCAGCGAACGGGUGAGUAACGCGUGGGGAAUCUGCCUUUCAGCGGGGGACAACAUUUGGAAACGAAUGCUAAUACCGCAUAAAAACUUUAAACACAAGUUUUAAGUUUGAAAGAUGCAAUUGCAUCACUCAAAGAUGAUCCCGCGUUGUAUUAGCUAGUUGGUGAGGUAAAGGCUCACCAAGGCGAUGAUACAUAUCCGACCUGAGAGGGUGAUCGGCCACAUUGGGACUGAGACACGGCCCAAACUCCUACGGGAGGCAGCAGUAGGGAAACUUCGGCAAUGGACGAAAGUCUGACCGAGCAACGCCGCGUGAGUGAAGAAGGUUUUCGGAUCGUAAAACUCUGUUGGUAGAGAAGAACGUUGGUGAGAGUGGAAAGCUCAUCAAGUGACGGUAACUACACAGAAAGGGACGGCUAACUACGUG
This 497-nucleotide ribosomal RNA is filed under the name uncultured bacterium. Its description in RNAcentral is "partial 16S ribosomal RNA". It matches the Rfam family "Bacterial small subunit ribosomal RNA", at positions 28 to 507 of the family's 1533-position model. The record is from RNAcentral.